Molecule: ribosomal RNA, 1500 nt
Filed under: Salmonella enterica
Lineage: Bacteria; Pseudomonadati; Pseudomonadota; Gammaproteobacteria; Enterobacterales; Enterobacteriaceae
Description: partial 23S ribosomal RNA
Rfam family: Bacterial large subunit ribosomal RNA
Source: RNAcentral
GCGAAGGGGGGACGGAGAAGGCUAUGUUGGCCGGGCGACGGUUGUCCCGGUUUAAGCGUGUAGGUGUGUGUUCCAGGUAAAUCCGGUUCACUUUAACACUGAGGCGUGAUGACGAGGCACUACGGUGCUGAAGUAACAAAUGCCCUGCUUCCAGGAAAAGCCUCUAAGCAUCAGGUAACAUCAAAUCGUACCCCAAACCGACACAGGUGGUCAGGUAGAGAAUACCAAGGCGCUUGAGAGAACUCGGGUGAAGGAACUAGGCAAAAUGGUGCCGUAACUUCGGGAGAAGGCACGCUGACACGUAGGUGAAGUGAUUUACUCACGGAGCUGAAGUCAGUCGAAGAUACCAGCUGGCUGCAACUGUUUAUUAAAAACACAGCACUGUGCAAACACGAAAGUGGACGUAUACGGUGUGACGCCUGCCCGGUGCCGGAAGGUUAAUUGAUGGGGUCAGCGCAAGCGAAGCUCCUGAUCGAAGCCCCGGUAAACGGCGGCCGUAACUAUAACGGUCCUAAGGUAGCGAAAUUCCUUGUCGGGUAAGUUCCGACCUGCACGAAUGGCGUAAUGAUGGCCAGGCUGUCUCCACCCGAGACUCAGUGAAAUUGAACUCGCUGUGAAGAUGCAGUGUACCCGCGGCAAGACGGAAAGACCCCGUGAACCUUUACUAUAGCUUGACACUGAACAUUGAGCCUUGAUGUGUAGGAUAGGUGGGAGGCUUUGAAGUGUGGACGCCAGUCUGCAUGGAGCCGACCUUGAAAUACCACCCUUUAAUGUUUGAUGUUCUAACGUGGACCCGUUACCCGGGUUGCGGACAGUGUCUGGUGGGUAGUUUGACUGGGGCGGUCUCCUCCUAAAGAGUAACGGAGGAGCACGAAGGUUGGCUAAUCCUGGUCGGACAUCAGGAGGUUAGUGCAAUGGCAUAAGCCAGCUUGACUGCGAGCGUGACGGCGCGAGCAGGUGCGAAAGCAGGUCAUAGUGAUCCGGUGGUUCUGAAUGGAAGGGCCAUCGCUCAACGGAUAAAAGGUACUCCGGGGAUAACAGGCUGAUACCGCCCAAGAGUUCAUAUCGACGGCGGUGUUUGGCACCUCGAUGUCGGCUCAUCACAUCCUGGGGCUGAAGUAGGUCCCAAGGGUAUGGCUGUUCGCCAUUUAAAGUGGUACGCGAGCUGGGUUUAGAACGUCGUGAGACAGUUCGGUCCCUAUCUGCCGUGGGCGCUGGAGAACUGAGGGGGGCUGCUCCUAGUACGAGAGGACCGGAGUGGACGCAUCACUGGUGUUCGGGUUGUCAUGCCAAUGGCACUGCCCGGUAGCUAAAUGCGGAAGAGAUAAGUGCUGAAAGCAUCUAAGCACGAAACUUGCCCCGAGAUGAGUUCUCCCUGAGACUUUAGGUCUCCUGAAGGAACGUUGAAGACGACGACGUUGAUAGGCCGGGUGUGUAAGCGCAGCGAUGCGUUGAGCUAACCGGUACUAAUGAACCGUGAGGCUUAACCUUACAACGCCG